This 429-nucleotide ribosomal RNA is filed under the name Bacteroidota bacterium. RNAcentral describes it as "Bacteroidetes bacterium partial 16S ribosomal RNA". It matches the Rfam family "Bacterial small subunit ribosomal RNA", at positions 355 to 776 of the family's 1533-position model. Lineage: Bacteria; Pseudomonadati; Bacteroidota. The record is from RNAcentral.
UAGGGAAUCUUCCGCAAUGGACGCAAGUCUGACGGAGCAACGCCGCGUGAGUGAAGAAGGAUUUCGGUUCGUAAAACUCUGUUGUUAGAGAAGAACAGCGCAUAGAGUAACUGUUAUGCGUGUGACGGUAUCUAACCAGAAAGCCACGGCUAACUACGUGCCAGCAGCCGCGGUAAUACGUAGGUGGCAAGCGUUGUCCGGAUUUAUUGGGCGUAAAGCGAGCGCAGGCGGUCAAUUAAGUCUGGUGUGAAAGCCCCCGGCUCAACCGGGGAGGGUCAUUGGAAACUGGUUGACUUGAGUGCAGAAGAGGAGAGUGGAAUUCCAUGUGUAGCGGUGAAAUGCGUAGAUAUAUGGAGGAACACCAGUGGCGAAGGCGACUCUCUGGUCUGUAACUGACGCUGAGGUUCGAAAGCGUGGGUAGCAAACAGG